This 253-nucleotide ribosomal RNA is filed under the name uncultured bacterium. Its description in RNAcentral is "partial 16S ribosomal RNA". It matches the Rfam family "Bacterial small subunit ribosomal RNA", at positions 524 to 776 of the family's 1533-position model. The record is from RNAcentral.
UACAGAGGUCCCAAGCGUUGUUCGGAUUCAUUGGGCGUAAAGGGUGUGUAGGUGGCGCCGUAAGUCGGGUGUGAAAUCUCGGGGCUUAACUCCGAAACUGCAUUCGAUACUGCGGUGCUUGAGGACUGGAGAGGAGACUGGAAUUCAUGGUGUAGCAGUGAAAUGCGUAGAUAUCAAGUGGAACACCAGUGGCGAAGGCGAGUCCCUGGACAACUCCUGACACUGAGGCACGAAAGCUAGGGGAGCAAACAGG